ACGGAGGAUCCAAGCGUUAUCCGGAAUCAUUGGGUUUAAAGGGUCCGUAGGCGGCCUUAUAAGUCAGUGGUGAAAUCUCCUAGCUCAACUAGGAAAUGGCCAUUGAUACUGUAGGGCUUGAAUUAUUGUGAAGUAACUAGAAUAUGUAGUGUAGCGGUGAAAUGCUUAGAUAUUACAUGGAAUACCAAUUGCGAAGGCAGGUUACUAACAAUAUAUUGACGCUGAUGGACGAAAGCGUGGGGAGCGAACAG
This 251-nucleotide ribosomal RNA is filed under the name uncultured prokaryote. RNAcentral's name for it is "partial 16S rRNA". It matches the Rfam family "Bacterial small subunit ribosomal RNA", at positions 525 to 775 of the family's 1533-position model. The record is from RNAcentral.